This 951-nucleotide ribosomal RNA is filed under the name Ascocoryne cylichnium. RNAcentral's name for it is "eukaryotic LSU rRNA". It matches the Rfam family "Eukaryotic large subunit ribosomal RNA", at positions 1 to 967 of the family's 3401-position model. The record is from RNAcentral. Lineage: Eukaryota; Fungi; Ascomycota; Leotiomycetes; Helotiales; Gelatinodiscaceae.
AGGUUGACCUCGGAUCAGGUAGGAAUACCCGCUAACUUAAGCAUAUCAAUAAGCGGAGGAAAAGAACCCACCAGGAUUGCCUCAGUAACGGCGAGUGAAGCGGCAACAGCUCAAAUUUGAAAUCUGGCUCUCUCAGGGCCCGAGUUGUAAUUUGUAGAAGAUGCUUCGGGUGCGGUCCGGGUCUAAGUUCCUUGGAAGAGGACGUCACAGAGGGUGAGAAUCCCGUAUGUGACCGGGUGCCCGCGCCCAUGUGAAGCUCUUUCGACGAGUCGAGUUGUUUGGGAAUGCAGCUCUAAAUGGGUGGUAUAUUUCAUCUAAAGCUAAAUAUUGGCCAGAGACCGAUAGCGCACAAGUAGAGUGAUCGAAAGAUGAAAAGCACUUUGGAAAGAGAGUUAAACAGUACGUGAAAUUGUUGAAAGGGAAGCGCUUGCAAUCAGACUUGCGCGCCGUCGGUCAUCCCAGGUUCUCCUGGGUGCACUCGGCGGCGCUCAGGCCAGCAUCGGUUCUGGUGGUGGGAUAAAGGCCUUGGGAAUGUAGCUCCUCUCGGGGAGUGUUAUAGCCCUCGGUGCAAUGCCGCCUACUGGGACCGAGGACCGCGCUCCGGCUAGGAUGCUGGCGUAAUGGUUGUAAGCGACCCGUCUUGAAACACGGACCAAGGAGUCUAACAUCUAUGCGAGUGUUUGGGUGUCAAACCCAUACGCGGAAUGAAAGUGAACGGAGCUAAGAACCCUCCAGGGUGCAUUAGCGACCGAUCCUGAUGUCUUCGGACGGAUUUGAGUACGAGCAUAGCUGUUGGGACCCGAAAGAUGGUGAACUAUGCCUGAAUAGGGUGAAGCCAGAGGAAACUCUGGUGGAGGCUCGCAGCGGUUCUGACGUGCAAAUCGAUCGUCAAAUUUGGGCAUAGGGGCGAAAGACUAAUCGAACCAUCUAGUAGCUGGUUCCUGCCGAAGU